Molecule: ribosomal RNA, 505 nt
Filed under: uncultured bacterium
Lineage: Bacteria
Description: partial 16S ribosomal RNA
Rfam family: Bacterial small subunit ribosomal RNA
Source: RNAcentral
GACGAACGCUGGCGGCGUGCCUAAUACAUGCAAGUAGAACGCACAGUUUAUACCGUAGCUUGCUACACUAUAGACUGUGAGUUGCGAACGGGUGAGUAACGCGUAGGUAACCUGCCUGGUAGCGGGGGAUAACUAUUGGAAACGAUAGCUAAUACCGCAUAAUAUUGAUUAUUGCAUGAUAAUUGAUUGAAAGAUGCUAUUGCAUCACUACCAGAUGGACCUGCGUUGUAUUAGCUAGUAGGUGAGGUAACGGCUCACCUAGGCGACGAUACAUAGCCGACCUGAGAGGGUGAUCGGCCACACUGGGACUGAGACACGGCCCAGACUCCUACGGGAGGCAGCAGUAGGGAAUCUUCGGCAAUGGACGAAAGUCUGACCGAGCAACGCCGCGUGAGUGAAGAAGGUUUUCGGAUCGUAAAGCUCUGUUGUAAGAGAAGAACGGGUGUGAGAGUGGAAAGUUCACACUGCGACGGUAUCUUACCAGAAAGGGACGGCUAACUACGUG